RNAcentral lists this ribosomal RNA (650 nucleotides) under uncultured bacterium. RNAcentral describes it as "bacterial SSU rRNA". It matches the Rfam family "Bacterial small subunit ribosomal RNA", at positions 115 to 796 of the family's 1533-position model. The record is from RNAcentral.
ACGUAAGAAUUUGCCUUUAGGAGGGGGAUAACAACUGGAAACGGUUGCUAAUACCCCAUAUGCUUUCGAGUGAAACGGUUUUUCCGCCUAAAGAGAAGCUUGCGGCUGAUUAGCUUGUUGGUAAGGUAAUGGCUUACCAAGGCGACGAUCAGUAUCUGGUUUGAGAGGACGAUCAGACACACUGGAACUGAGACACGGUCCAGACUCCUACGGGAGGCAGCAGUGGGGAAUUUUCCGCAAUGGGCGAAAGCCUGACGGAGCAAUACCGCGUGAGGGAUGACGGCCUAUGGGUUGUAAACCUCUUUUUUCAGGGAGGAAUCAAUGACGUGUACCUGAAGAAUAAGCAUCGGCUAACUCCGUGCCAGCAGCCGCGGUAAGACGGAGGAUGCAAGUGUUAUCCGGAAUCACUGGGCGUAAAGCGUCUGUAGGUGGUUUAAUAAGUCAACUGUUAAAUCUUGAGGCUUAACCUCGAAAUCGCAGUCGAAACUAUUAGACUAGAGUAUAGUAGGGGUAAAGGGAAUUUCCAGUGGAGCGGUGAAAUGCGUAGAUAUUGGAAAGAACACCAAUGGCGAAGGCACUUUACUGGGCUAUUACUAACACUGAGAGACGAAAGCUAGGGUAGCAAAUGGGAUUAGAUACCCUGGUAGUCC